CCUACGGGCGGCAGCAGUGAGGAAUAUUGGUCAAUGGGCGUAAGCCUGAACCAGCCAAGUCGCGUGAGGGAUGAAGGUUCUAUGGAUCGUAAACCUCUUUUAUAAGGGAAUAAAGUGUGGGACGUGUCCUAUUUUGUAUGUACCUUAUGAAUAAGGAUCGGCUAACUCCGUGCCAGCAGCCGCGGUAAUACGGAGGAUCCGAGCGUUAUCCGGAUUUAUUGGGUGUAAAGGGUGCGUAGGCGGCCUUUUAAGUCAGCGGUGAAAAUCUGUGGCUCAACCCUUGUAUUGCCGUUGAAACUGGGGGGCUUGAGUAUGUUUGAGGCAGGCGGAAUGCGUGGUGUAGCGGUGAAAUGCUUAGAUAUCACGGAGAACCCCGGUUGCGAAGGCAGCCUGCCAAGCCAUGACUGACGCUGAUGCACGAAAGCGUGGGGAUCAAACAGGAUUAGAUACCCGAGUAGUC
This 460-nucleotide ribosomal RNA is filed under the name uncultured bacterium. RNAcentral describes it as "partial 16S ribosomal RNA". It matches the Rfam family "Bacterial small subunit ribosomal RNA", at positions 338 to 795 of the family's 1533-position model. The record is from RNAcentral.